This is a long non-coding RNA of Onychostoma macrolepis, 2864 nucleotides long. RefSeq lists it as uncharacterized. The transcript has 3 exons. The record is from RefSeq and is a predicted model, not a curated record. Lineage: Eukaryota; Metazoa; Chordata; Actinopteri; Cypriniformes; Cyprinidae.
UGCAGAGGAUCCAUUGGUAAUGUUAGUAAUGUUAAAUUUCUCCACAUCUGUUCUGAUGAAUACACAAACUCAUCUACAUCAUGGAUGGCCUGAGAGAGUUCCCCUAAUUUUCAUUUUUGGAAGGAGUGAAGGUCAGGCUGUAAGAUGUCAGCUUCCAUUGACCAUGAUUUUGUGGCUGUGAUGGACUCGAGUGUGUGCCAGCGUGGCUCCAGGUGACACGAGGCAGGUCUGACGGACAGGAAUGAGACACGGCACAGGUGGCAGUCACCGGUUUCCCUGAUGUCACUUCCUCUUCCACAGAGACGUCCGUAUCCGAUCAGAUGGUGGAUCAGCACCAAGAGAUGAUGUCUACAGCCCUGAUCGUCAGCAGAGACCAGGACACCCAGAUGAGCCCCAGAGACAUAUCCCCAGUGAAGACCUCGAUUAAAAUACAAUAAAACUAUAAAUAUAACAAAAUAACUAAAAAUAUAAUAAAAUACAUAAUACUAUUAUUGUUAGAAAUUGCAACAAAAUAAAAAAUAGAAAUAUAAACUUUUGAACUGCGGCUUUCGUCUGUCCAGAGGACAACUGGCCCCCGACUGAGUCUGGUUUCUCCCAAGGUUUUUUUCUCCAUUCUGUCUCAGAGGGAGUUUUGGUUCCUUGCCGCUGUCGCCUCUGGCUUGCUCAGUUGGGGACACUUAAUUUCUAGCGAUUAUCGCCGAUUUGAUUGCACAGAUAAUAUUUAAACUAAACUGAGCUAAACAAUGACAUCUCUGAAUUCAAUAAUGAAAUGCCUUUAACUGAAAAUUGAGCGUUUAAUCUUAUCAUUAUACAUUACUGACACUCUAUCUUCCAAUUUGAUACUGUUAAGUGCUUUGACACAAUCUCUAUUGUUAAAAGCGCUAUAUAAAUAAAGGUGACUUGACUUGACUUGACUUUAAUUUUUCUUAUAAUGUAUAAAUACUAAAUAUGUGAUCUGACAGCAUAUAUUGCUUUUCUGGAUUGAUAGUCAUUACUUCUAGCCAGAGGUGUAAAAAUUACUCAAAAAUUGUAAUCAAGUGAAAGUACAAGUAUCUGGCCAAAACAUACUUGAGUAAAAGUAAAAAAGUACAACUUUCAAAUUGUACUCAAGUAUUAAAAAAUUAGAAGUACUUUCUUUUCUGACAGACAUUCAGAAGUUUGGUUAAAGGGAGAAAACGAAACAAAAUGCAAUGGCACAGGUCAAACACGUAUAUCUUGUGCAACAACAACAACAAUUAAAAUACAGCACAGUGGAACACAGGAAGAAAAAAAAAAAUACAGGGAAAAGGAUUAAAAGGAAACUCCAUGCUUUUCACCCUCAUGCCAUCCCAAAUGCCUUUCAUUUAUCAAAUGAACACACUAAGAGUUGGCCCGAUCCGCGGCUUGUUGCAAGCGAUUUUUUGUCCAAAAAAUCCUCUAUUGUGUGGUGUCAUUACGAUUAUUUAUCUGCUCCCGAUCGAGACAGAAUUAAAAAAAAAUUUAUAAAAUCAUUGGACAGUCCUAAUUACUCAAUGUGUCAUAUAAUGACAUAUUAUAAAUACAACUUAUCCACUACCUGGUAAGAACAUCACUAAACAUGAAUUACAAUUAAUUUAACAUACAAUGUUUAUUAAACACUUUGUGGAGAUUUUUAUUUAAUUAAAAAAAAAAAUAUUUCCACAAAAAUAUUAAUUGUAUUUAAAUUAUCAUCACUGAUCUUAUUUGCACUCCAUCUUGUGCAUUCAGCUAAUAUAUCACACAGCUAAUGGCUCUAUCAAAACAGAAUGAAUAAUAAAUACACUUUUUGGGGGGGAAAAUGCAACUUUGCUAGCUCAACAUGCUACCUCAGAUUUGAUGGUGAACUUUUGAAGCCAGACAUUUACCUGAUGAAAGUCAUAACUGAAGUAGAUAUGUGUGUGCUUGAUGCAUGAAAACAAUGAUCAUUGGUUCUCACAUCAGGCACGCUUUAUUUCAAGAUUAAAUAAAAUUGUAAGGAGUAAAAAGUACUGUUUUUUUUUCUUCAGAAAUGUAGUCAAGUAAAAGUACAAAUAGUAAGUUUAAAUUGUACUUGAAUAAAUUACAAAUCCCCCAAAAUAAUACUUAAGUACAGUAAUCAAGUAAAAUUACUGAAGUAUUUUACACCUCUGCUUCUAGCAGAGUUAGGGUUGAGGGAACAGAGAACAUAAGGCUGAGAGAACACAUAACACUGGAUAAAACUACAUAAUACAGUUUGUUUGUAUUCUGAUAAUAUAUUUUUUGGAUCAUUUGUUAAGAUGUUUAAAUGUGAAUAUUAAGAUCCUUGUGAAAUUAAGAUGAGUUACAAUGUAAAUGGAUAGAGUUAAAUGAACAAAUUGUUUUAUUUGUUCAUAUAAUUGUUUUAAAAUAUACCUUGUUACCAUAGCAGAUGCACAGCAGAGAUACUGUUAAGAGAUGAGAGAAAAUGGUCCCACUUUAUAUUAGGUGGCCUUAACUACUAUGUACUUACAUCAAAAAAUACUUAUUGUGUUCAUACUAUAUUGCAAAACACUAUUGCUGCCAUUGAGGUGGGAUACAGGUAAGGUUAGGGACAGGUUUGGUGGUCUAGGUUUAAGGGUGGGUUAAGGCGUAAGGGAUGAGUCAACAGUGUAAUUAUAAAUGUAAUUACAGAAAUUAAUUACAGAUGUAAUUACAUAUUGGUAUUUUUAAAAAUAUAAGUACAAUGUAAAAACUUGUAUGUACACAAUAAGUGCAUUGUACCAAAUGAUUAAUUGGAAUGUAAGUACAUAGUAGUUAAGGCCACCUAAUAUAAAGUGGGACCGAGAAAAUAGAUCAUUUGUGUUCCAAUGAUAUAUAAAAUACUUAAAUGUGAAUCUUGAAUAAAAUCUUUAUAAACAAUAACAUACUCA